Oncorhynchus keta (chum salmon) is the source of this 1189-nucleotide long non-coding RNA. RefSeq lists it as uncharacterized. The record is from RefSeq and is a predicted model, not a curated record. Lineage: Eukaryota; Metazoa; Chordata; Actinopteri; Salmoniformes; Salmonidae. The transcript has 3 exons.
CCGGUGAACAGGUCAGGGACAGGUAGCACGUCCGGUGAACAGGUCAGGGACAGGUAGCACGUCCGGUGAACAGGUCUGGGACAGGUAGCACGUCCGGUGAACAGGUCAGGGACAGGUAGCACGUCUGGUGAACAGGUCUGGGACAGGUAGCACGUCCGGUGAACAGGUCAGGGACAGGUAGCACGUCUGGUGAACAGGUCUGGGACAGGUAGCAUGUCCGGUGAACAGGUCAGGGACAGGUAGCACGUCCGGUGAACAGGUCAGGGACAGGUAGCACGUCUGGUGAACAGGUCUGGGACAGGUAGCACGUCCGGUGAACAGGUCAGGGACAGGUAGCACGUCUGGUGAACAGGUCUGGGACAGGUAGCAUGUCCGGUGAACAGGUCAGGGACAGGUAGCACGUCCGGUGAACAGGUCAGGGACAGGUAGCACGUCUGGUGAACAGGUCUGGGACAGGUAGCACGUCCGGUGAACAGGUCAGGGACAGGUAGCACGUCUGGUGAACAGGUCUGGGACAGGUAGCAUGUCCGGUGAACAGGUCAGGGACAGGUAGCACGUCCGGUGAACAGGUCAGGGACAGGUAGCACGUCUGGUGAACAGGUCAGGGACAGGUAGCACGUCUGGUGAACAGGUCAGGAACAGGUAGCACGUCCGGUGAACAGGUCAGGGACAGGUAGCAUGUCUGGUGAACAGGUCAGGGACAGGUAGCACGUCCGGUGAACAGGUCAGGGACAGGUAGCACGUCUGGUGAACAGGUCAGGGACAGGUAGCACGUCUGGUGAACAGGUCAGGGACAGGUAGCAUGUCUGGUGAACAGGUCAGGAACAGGUAGCACGUCCGGUGAACAGGUCAGGGACAGGUAGCACGUCUGGUGAACAGGUCAGGGACAGGUAGCACGUCUGGUGAACAGGUCAGGAACAGGUAGCACGUCCGGUGAACAGGUCAGGGACAGGUAGCACGUCUGGUGAACAGGUCAGGGACAGGUAGCACGUCUGGUGAACAGGUCAGGAACAGGUAGCACGUCUGGUGAACAGGUCAGGAACAGGUAGCACGUCCGGUGAACAGGUCAGGGUUCCAUAGCCGCAGGGAGAACAGUUGUAACUGGAGCAGCAGCGAUGUCAAUGAUUCAAUCAGCAUUGAUGUAAUUGUAAUCUGAAAGUCAAAUUCUUACUGUUAUAAUGUCCCUAUA